UGAGACAUCACUGUCAGCGGGUCUGCUUAUUACAAAUCCUCAGAGAAGUUAAUGUCAAGGAUGAGCCAAGACAACCUAAAUGAAGAACUUGAUCACAAUUUCAAAGCUUCAUUUCUUACUGGAAAAUCUUUUGGGAGGUACAUCACCUUUGUCCCAGCUGAACCAGUCCACAUCUUUUGAGAUGCAAAUGUCACUUCAGAGUCUUUUCUUGGGAAGAGCUAUAGCCUACAUGGAAUAUUUUUUUAUCCACAAGAUCUGAAAAUAAAUGGAGGGAAGAAAUGUGUCAGAUGGUAUGAAAAGGAAGAUAGUUUGUAAUACGAAUAAUUUGAUGAUGAUGUGAUGUGUCAUACUGAAAGCUAAACUUGCGGUGGAACCAGCACAUGUAGAGGCUGGGCCAUUAUCCAGCCCCAGAGGACACUGACAAGACAAGCC
Long non-coding RNA from Gallus gallus (chicken), 432 nucleotides. NCBI's taxonomy places the organism in Eukaryota, Metazoa, Chordata, Aves, Galliformes, Phasianidae. The record is from Ensembl.